UACGGAGGAUGCGAGCGUUAUCCGGAUUUAUUGGGUUUAAAGGGUGCGCAGGCGGCCUGUUAAGUCAGCGGUAAAAAUUCGGGGCUCAACCCCGUCGUGCCGUUGAAACUGAUGUUCUUGAGUGGGCGAGAAGUAUGCGGAAUGCGUGGUGUAGCGGUGAAAUGCAUAGAUAUCACGCAGAACACCGAUUGCGAAGGCAUCUGACGAAUCGGAGAUUGACGCUGAUGCACGAAAGCGUGGGUAUCGAACAGG
RNAcentral lists this ribosomal RNA (252 nucleotides) under uncultured Bacteroidales bacterium. RNAcentral's name for it is "partial 16S ribosomal RNA". It matches the Rfam family "Bacterial small subunit ribosomal RNA", at positions 524 to 776 of the family's 1533-position model. Lineage: Bacteria; Pseudomonadati; Bacteroidota; Bacteroidia; Bacteroidales. The record is from RNAcentral.